UGUGGACGGUCGUGAGGUAGUAGGUACGCCCUAUAUAUAUGCAAGCAUAAAAACAAUCGAAGGCAAGGAAAACCCUAAUCCCCUGUUCCUGGCUGCUUCUUUUUCUCUCUGGGCACGUUGUUCAUUCCUCUUCCUAAAAUGGCUUCUUCUCCUUUAGUUGUUGCAAUUAUAGGAGAGGAGAAUCCAUUUUAGGAAGGGAAUGAAUACUGUGUCGGUUUUACGAGGGAGACAAUCUGACAAAAUUAUAACAUGGUUUUUGUCCAUUCUUGAAAUUUGACAUCAACUAUUUCAGUUUCAGAUUAAAGCUGAGAGUGAUUGAGGAGAGCAAGCGGAGAAUCUAUGUUUUGCGGGGUUGUGGUUACUAUAUUUCUGUGCUGUAUUGUGGGGCAAAAUCAAUGUUUGGGAAUUGGUUACUGUGCUGUUUUUGUUAAAUUCUGUUGUAUUUUUUAGAUAUAAAUUAAACAAUAUGAUUUAUGACUUCUUAAA
Populus trichocarpa (black cottonwood) is the source of this 486-nucleotide long non-coding RNA. RefSeq lists it as uncharacterized. The transcript has 2 exons. The record is from RefSeq and is a predicted model, not a curated record. Lineage: Eukaryota; Viridiplantae; Streptophyta; Magnoliopsida; Malpighiales; Salicaceae.